This is a long non-coding RNA of Eriocheir sinensis (Chinese mitten crab), 2377 nucleotides long. RefSeq lists it as uncharacterized. The record is from RefSeq and is a predicted model, not a curated record. Lineage: Eukaryota; Metazoa; Arthropoda; Malacostraca; Decapoda; Varunidae. The transcript is spliced from 3 exons.
GAUACAAAGGGAGUGUUGUCAAUCAACUCGGAGAGGCACGUGUCUUGCGACACUAGAGCAUAAUGAAUAAUCAACAAAUUAUGAAAGCUCUACAAGGAAAACUUUAUCACAAUAAUAUAUAUUUCUUAGGCUGUCUUCCCGCUGACGAUGUAGCGAAAUUAAAUCUAAGGAGUGAGUCAGACAAGCCCAUUGUCUUUAUUGCUAAUGUGUUAGGCGCAUCGCAAGCUUCGAAAAUGGGUCACUGGGUGGUGUUCUAUGUUAGUGAUAAGUGUAUAUAUUUCUUCGACACAUACGCCCUGACCCCAUCAUUAUAUUCUAAGUACUUUCGAAGUUUCUUAAAUAAGCAUAAAGAUUAUCCUGUUUUUAAACUUGCCGCAAGAUUACAGUCGGACAAAACUCUGGUGUGUGGCGUGUAUUGCAUUCAAUUCGUAUACUUAUGUAAUAAAAUAGGCUUAGAGAGGACUAGUCAGUUUCUGAAAGAUAAUUAUGAUUUAGGAAAUUUUUUGAAGAAUGACAGAAAGGUGUUAACAUAUGCUUAUAGAAUGUUUAAAAUGCCCCCAUGUAUAAAAACAUUUUGUCAAUCUAGUCAAGGACUGACUUACAAGCAUUGUAUUUCUAAGAUAUGUGGCUAACUUAUUAAAUGCUACAAUGUGUGUGUGUGUAAAAAAUGUAGAGCAGUAGCAUGUAGCUUAUUCAUUUAUGGCGUGUGUGUGCAAUUAUAUGUAGUUAUUAAGAACAGGAUUUUUUUUUUUUUUUUCGUGCGAUGUGACCGGGUGGGUGUGAGUUUGUUCACGCUUUCCUAUGUGUAAAAAAAAUGUAGAGAAGUAGUAUAUAGCUUAUUCAUUUAUGGCGUGUGUGUAGUUAUAUGUAGUUAUUAAGAACAGGAUUCUGUUUUUUUUUUUUUUUUUCGUGCGACGUGACCGGGUGGGUGUGAGUUUGUUCACGCUUUCCUAUUGUUCGGAUGAAGAAUGGCUUGUGGUUUUGGGCAUGUGCGCGCGUGUUUGCAUACAUGUGUGGGCGUGUCCCCUAUAACCUGGGGUAGCCUCGGAAGAAGAAAAGGCUUGUGGUAGUGUGCGCAUAUGCCCCAAAUAACCCCGGGUAGCUUAGUCAGUCCCCUAACGUUGCGAGAGGAGCGUCAUGGAGGAAGUCUUCGCCGUCAUGAACUUACAACAACAACAACAACAACAACAACAACAGCCCCACGCUGCCGCUGCAACUCUUCAUGCUGACGAUGUUGACGAUCAGAUAAUGGGUCAAGCCGCAUUAGAAGUUGAAGCCAUGGAUAACACAUCCCAAGCUGAAGCCGUGGAUAACACAUCACAUCCCAGAAACGGAGCGGAUGUUGGUGGUGGUGAGGUGGGGGAUGUUCCAGAAACUCCCAAGUCUACCGGUGAACAUAUCACGGGCGAGUCAUUGGGCAACAACAACCGCGGCGCGUUGGGAGGUGUCGGUAAAAUGGGGCGGCGUGUGCUGAGGGAAGGAUGUGAUACCUCCAUUACCAGUGUCUCAUCUGAAGAACGACCCACCGGACAGCGUAACGCAUAUCCACGGCAACAACAACAGACACGCUUCGGUGAUGGUGUGUCUUGACUCUCCGUCGGGCGCUGAAUCGCGAGAGCGGCGGCGAAGUCGUCUGCAGCAAAAAGAUCAUGAAAUGCGUCAAUCACGACUGGAAAAAAAAAUGCAGCAUAUGGCGGAAGUGUUGCGGCCGCGCCCACUUCUGACUUGACAUACCCCGCUUGACCUUUCUUGGAAGUGUCAUAGGCGGGGUGGGUGGUGGGGAAGUUACUAAAAUCCAUUAUGGAUUUUAUGAGUGGAAGCGAAUAAAAUUCACUAAUGUCUUGGAAGUUAGAGAUGCAUAUGGUGGCCGAAUCUGUGAGAGUCCUAUAUUUAGUGCUUAACAAUCUUUUUUUUAUAUAUGUACUCGCUCUGUGUGUAUUAUUUUUUAUAUAUAUAUGUGCUUGUGUUGUGUAUUUUUUUUCUUCAUUUGUAUAUGUACUCGUGUUGUCAUCCUUUUAUGGGCUGUCUUUGGGCAUGUACGACAUAAGUUUGUAAUAUGUCUCUUUCAAUUAGGAUUUAUUUUGGGGGAGGGAAAAAAAAAAGGGUAGGAUGGGUGGGUUUCCAUUGUAUUUCUUUGAGCCUGUACGGUGUGAGUUUGUAAUAUGUCUUUUUUUUUUUAUGGCGAUUGUGUGUUUUUGUUUUUAGGCUUAGCAUGUAUUUAGUCUGGAUUAAGAAAGAACAAAUUAGCCUGGAUUAAGAAAGAACAAAUAAAAUAGACUAGAUUAAGGUAAUAUAAUAACUUGUCAUACCAUUUUUUUCCACUAUAUUUCAAUAAAAAUGUAUAAAAUCUACUUUUCCCGUUCCUACCCCUCACUGA